GAUGAAGAACGCAGCGAAAUGCGAUACUUAGUGUGAAUUGCAGAAUCCCGUGAACCAUCGAGUCUUUGAACGCAAGUUGCGCCCGAAGCCGUCAGGCCGAGGGCACGCCUGCCUGGGCGUCACACGCCGUUGCCCCCCCGCGCCCCGCACCCAACUCUUUGGGAGCGACCGCGGGGCGGGCUGAUGAUGGCCUCCCGUGCGCUCCGCCGCGCGGUUGGCCCAAAUACCGAGUCCCCGGCGACGUGCGCCACGACGAUCGGUGGUUGAGAGACCUCUGUCGCAAGUCGUGCGCGCCCGUCGCGUCACGCGGGCUCGCAUAGCGCCUCGCGCCGCACCCGGUGCGGAGCUUUCAACGCGACCCCAGGUCAGGCGGGGUUACCCGCUGAAUUUAAGCAUAUCAAUAAGCGGAGGA
Molecule: unclassified non-coding RNA, 412 nt
Filed under: soil metagenome
Description: partial contains 5.8S ribosomal RNA, internal transcribed spacer 2, and large subunit ribosomal RNA
Rfam family: 5.8S ribosomal RNA (bases 1-122)
Source: RNAcentral